UACAGAGGUGGCUAGCGUUGUUCGGAAUUACUGGGCGUAAAGGGCGCGUAGGCGGCUUGGUCAGUCCCGUGUGAAAUCCCUCGGCUCAACUGAGGAACUGCACGGGAAACUGCCUGGCUUGAGUUCGGGAGAGGGAAGCGGAAUUCCGGGUGUAGCGGUGAAAUGCGUAGAUAUCUGAAGGAACAUCAGUGGCGAAAGCGACUUCCUGGACCAAUACUGACGCUCAUGUGCGAAAGCGUGGGGAGCAAACAGG
This 253-nucleotide ribosomal RNA is filed under the name uncultured bacterium. RNAcentral describes it as "partial 16S ribosomal RNA". It matches the Rfam family "Bacterial small subunit ribosomal RNA", at positions 524 to 776 of the family's 1533-position model. The record is from RNAcentral.